GAGGUAGGCUGAUGAGCACAAGUGCAUAGUUCAAAUGACCAAACAAUGAUUACUUGAACAAAAUAGUUUUUCGCUCCUAGCUUUCCUGUUUA
Triticum dicoccoides is the source of this 92-nucleotide small nucleolar RNA. RefSeq annotates it as small nucleolar RNA snR60/Z15/Z230/Z193/J17. The transcript has a single exon. Lineage: Eukaryota; Viridiplantae; Streptophyta; Magnoliopsida; Poales; Poaceae. The record is from RefSeq and is a predicted model, not a curated record.